RNAcentral lists this long non-coding RNA (328 nucleotides) under Daucus carota (carrot). RNAcentral describes it as "long non-coding RNA (DCAR_LNC006660)". The record is from RNAcentral. Lineage: Eukaryota; Viridiplantae; Streptophyta; Magnoliopsida; Apiales; Apiaceae.
CUUCAGAACCGAUUUACAGGUAGCUCAGGUACUUUCUAAUCUCACUGAUACCUUUAAUAUUGCUAUUGCAGAUUUUGAUUGUGAUAUUGGAUUUGAUUUCUAGCCUCCCAGCAUUGAACCUGAAAACACCCAGGUUCAUAUCCAAGCUGAUGUUUCCGUUUCAACAACUGAUUCUUCGUCAAACACAUCAACCGACACUACUCAUACACCAGUUGUUAGAAAGGUAGCCCGGAAACGGAGUGGGAGUGCAAUUCUGAGAGAACCCGCAGCUCUGUCUCAUAAGAAGCAAAGGGUGGCAGAACCGGAGACAACUGCAGCCACAUCCAUU